RNAcentral lists this ribosomal RNA (798 nucleotides) under Phyllodytes amadoi. Its description in RNAcentral is "partial 16S ribosomal RNA". It matches the Rfam family "Bacterial large subunit ribosomal RNA", at positions 1254 to 2567 of the family's 2925-position model. The record is from RNAcentral. Lineage: Eukaryota; Metazoa; Chordata; Amphibia; Anura; Hylidae.
UUAUUUUUAUUGAGUAAUUCUAUACUGUUAUAGAAUUUAUAAUGUUAAAACUAGUAGCAAGAAGAAGACCUUCUCUUAAAUGCAAGUAUAAACCAGCAAGGACUUACCACUGGCAAUUAACAUACAUAAGACUACAUUAGUAACCUCUCAAGAAAACUCUAAUAAAUUUUGUGUUAACCUAACACGAGAGCAUUAAAAGAAAGAUUAAAAAAAAAAGAAGGAACUCGGCAAACAAUAACCCCGCCUGUUUACCAAAAACAUCGCCUCUUGAAUAAUUAUAAGAGGUCCAGCCUGCCCAGUGAUUUAUUUAACGGCCGCGGUAUCUUAACCGCGCGAAGGUAGCAUAAUCAAUUGUUCUUUAAAUGGGGACUUGUAUGAAUGGCACCACGAAGGUUGUACUGUCUCCUUUUUUUAAUCAGCGAAACUAAUUUCCCCGUGAAGAAGCGGGAAUAAAAAUAUAAGACGAGAAGACCCUAUGGAGCUUCAAACUAAAUAACAAAUAUUACCACUUUUAAGUUUUUCCAGAAUUAUAAUCCUCAUUCAUAUAUUAUGAUUAACAGUUUUAGGUUGGGGCGACCGCGGAGUAAAAUCCAACCUCCGCACUGAAAGAGUCCACUUCUGAACCAAGAGCUACAACUCCAAGCACCAAUAAAUUGACAUCAUUUGACCCAAUACUUUGAUCAACGAACCAAGUUACCCUAGGGAUAACAGCGCAAUCCACUUCAAGAGGCCCUAUCAAAAAGUGGGCUUACGACCUCGAUGUUGGAUCAGGAUAUCCCAGUGGUGCAGCCGCUACUA